UAAGCGACUAAGCGUACACGGUGGAUGCCCUGGCAGUCAGAGGCGAUGAAGGACGUGCUAAUCUGCGAUAAGCGUCGGUAAGGUGAUAUGAACCGUUAUAACCGGCGAUUUCCGAAUGGGGAAACCCAGUGUGAUUCGUCACACUAUCAUUACGUGAAUACAUAGCGUAAUGAAGCGAACCGGGGGAACUGAAACAUCUAAGUACCCCGAGGAAAAGAAAUCAACCGAGAUUCCCCCAGUAGCGGCGAGCGAACGGGGAGCAGCCCAGAGUCUGAAUCAGCUUGUGUGUUAGUGGAACGGUCUGGAAAGUCCGACGGUACAGGGUGAUAGUCCCGUACACCAAAAUGCACAGGCUGUGAACUCGAAGAGUAGGGCGGGACACGUGGUAUCCUGUCUGAAUAUGGGGGGACCAUCCUCCAAGGCUAAAUACUCCUGACUGACCGAUAGUGAACCAGUACCGUGAGGGAAAGGCGAAAAGAACCCCGGCGAGGGGAGUGAAAAAGACCUAGAACCGUGUACGUACAAGCAGUGGGAGCCUCUUUAUGGGGUGACUGCGUACCUUUUGUAUAAUGGGUCAGCGACUUAUAUUCUGUAGCAAGGUUAACCGAAUAGGGGAGCCGAAGGGAAACCGAGUCUUAACUGGGCGUUAAGUUGCAGGGUAUAGACCCGAAACCCGGUGAUCUAGCCAUGGGCAGGUUGAAGGUUGGGUAACACUAACUGGAGGACCGAACCGACUAAUGUUGAAAAAUUAGCGGAUGACUUGUGGCUGGGGGUGAAAGGCCAAUCAAACCGGGAGAUAGCUGGUUCUCCCCGAAAGCUAUUUAGGUAGCGCCUCGUGAACUCAUCUUCGGGGGUAGAGCACUGUUUCGGCUAGGGGGUCAUCCCGACUUACCAACCCGAUGCAAACUGCGAAUACCGAAGAAUGUUAUCACGGGAGACACACGGCGGGUGCUAACGUCCGUCGUGAAGAGGGAAACAACCCAGACCGCCAGCUAAGGUCCCAAAGUCACAGUUAAGUGGGAAACGAUGUGGGAAGGCACAGACAGCCAGGAUGUUGGCUUAGAAGCAGCCAUCAUUUAAAGAAAGCGUAAUAGCUCACUGGUCGAGUCGGCCUGCGCGGAAGAUGUAACGGGGCUAAACUGUGCACCGAAGCUGCGGCAGCGACACUAUGUGUUGUUGGGUAGGGGAGCGUUCUGUAAGCCGUUGAAGGUGGCCUGUGAGGGUUGCUGGAGGUAUCAGAAGUGCGAAUGCUGACAUAAGUAACGAUAAUGCGGGUGAAAAACCCGCACGCCGGAAGACCAAGGGUUCCUGUCCAACGUUAAUCGGGGCAGGGUGAGUCGACCCCUAAGGCGAGGCCGGAAGGCGUAGUCGAUGGGAAACAGGUUAAUAUUCCUGUACUUGGUGUUACUGCGAAGGGGGGACGGAGAAGGCUAUGUUAGCCGGGCGACGGUUGUCCCGGUUCAAGCAUGUAGGCGGAGGUUCCAGGUAAAUCCGGUACCUUUUUAACGCUGAGGUGUGAUGACGAGGCACUACGGUGCUGAAGUAACAAAUGCCCUGCUUCCAGGAAAAGCCUCUAAGCAUCAGGUAACACGAAAUCGUACCCCAAACCGACACAGGUGGUCAGGUAGAGAAUACCAAGGCGCUUGAGAGAACUCGGGUGAAGGAACUAGGCAAAAUGGUGCCGUAACUUCGGGAGAAGGCACGCUGAUAUGUAGGUGAAGUGAUUUACUCAUGGAGCUGAAAUCAGUCGAAGAUACCAGCUGGCUGCAACUGUUUAUUAAAACACAGCACUGUGCAAACACGAAAGUGGACGUAUACGGUGUGACGCCUGCCCGGUGCCGGAAGGUUAAUUGAUGGGGUUAUCCGUAAGGAGAAGCUCUUGAUCGAAGCCCCGGUAAACGGCGGCCGUAACUAUAACGGUCCUAAGGUAGCGAAAUUCCUUGUCGGGUAAGUUCCGACCUGCACGAAUGGCGUAAUGAUGGCCAGGCUGUCUCCACCCGAGACUCAGUGAAAUUGAACUCGCUGUGAAGAUGCAGUGUACCCGCGGCAAGACGGAAAGACCCCGUGAACCUUUACUAUAGCUUGACACUGAACACUGGUCCUUGAUGUGUAGGAUAGGUGGGAGGCUUUGAAGUGUGGACGCCAGUCUGCAUGGAGCCAACCUUGAAAUACCACCCUUUAAUGGCUGGUGUUCUAACGUGGACCCGUAAUCCGGGUUGCGGACAGUGUCUGGUGGGUAGUUUGACUGGGGCGGUCUCCUCCUAAAGAGUAACGGAGGAGCACGAAGGUUAGCUAAUCCUGGUCGGACAUCAGGAGGUUAGUGCAAAGGCAUAAGCUAGCUUGACUGCGAGAGUGACGGCUCGAGCAGGUGCGAAAGCAGGUCUUAGUGAUCCGGUGGUUCUGAAUGGAAGGGCCAUCGCUCAACGGAUAAAAGGUACUCCGGGGAUAACAGGCUGAUACCGCCCAAGAGUUCAUAUCGACGGCGGUGUUUGGCACCUCGAUGUCGGCUCAUCACAUCCUGGGGCUGAAGUAGGUCCCAAGGGUAUGGCUGUUCGCCAUUUAAAGUGGUACGCGAGCUGGGUUUAGAACGUCGUGAGACAGUUCGGUCCCUAUCUGCCGUGGGCGCUGGAGAAUUGAGGGGGGCUGCUCCUAGUACGAGAGGACCGGAGUGGACGCAUCACUGGUGUUCGGGUUGUCAUGCCAAUGGCAUUGCCCGGUAGCUAAAUGCGGAAGAGAUAAGUGCUGAAAGCAUCUAAGCACGAAACUUGCCCCGAGAUGAGUUCUCCCUGAGACUUUAAGUCUCCUGAAGGAACGUUGAAGACGACGACGUUGAUAGGUCGGGUGUGUAAGUGUAGCGAUACAUUGAGCUAACCGAUACUAAUGAACCGUGAGGCUUAACCU
This 2901-nucleotide ribosomal RNA is filed under the name Shigella flexneri 1235-66. RNAcentral's name for it is "bacterial LSU rRNA". It matches the Rfam family "Bacterial large subunit ribosomal RNA". Lineage: Bacteria; Pseudomonadati; Pseudomonadota; Gammaproteobacteria; Enterobacterales; Enterobacteriaceae. The record is from RNAcentral.